GGGAAGGUGGCUCAGUAGUAGAGUGCUUGCCUUGCAUGCAUGAGGCCCUGGGUUUGAUUCCUCACCACCACA
Molecule: transfer RNA, 72 nt
Filed under: Dipodomys ordii (Ord's kangaroo rat)
Lineage: Eukaryota; Metazoa; Chordata; Mammalia; Rodentia; Heteromyidae
Rfam family: tRNA
About the family: Transfer RNA (tRNA) molecules are approximately 80 nucleotides in length. Their secondary structure includes four short double-helical elements and three loops (D, anti-codon, and T loops).
Source: Rfam by way of RNAcentral